Long non-coding RNA from Macaca mulatta (Rhesus monkey), 2913 nucleotides. RefSeq lists it as uncharacterized. The record is from RefSeq and is a predicted model, not a curated record. Lineage: Eukaryota; Metazoa; Chordata; Mammalia; Primates; Cercopithecidae.
CAUAUCACAUUGCACAGCCAUCUGCUCUCACCCCAUAAAUCGCCCCCUCGCAUUGCAGCUUUCCAAGUUUCUCCGUUUCCUGAGUUUCCCGCAUCCCUCGUCCCUCCUUCUCCAGCUGUGGCUCGUGUUUUUCCAUGGGAAGGUUUCUUUCACUUACUGCAUCUCUAACUUUCUCUUUUUCUUCCUUAUCUGUCCAUGGUGAUGAUCACAACACAUCCCAAUUUAGUCUCACCAGCUAAUUUAAUGUGUUGCUUCUCCCUCUCACAGUCUACAAGGCGGAGAGCACUGAAGCACGAAGUGGAACUCUUUUGCUAUGAACGACCUCACCAAUUAUGAACCUCAUAAUCUGUGUGUGUGCCAUGACAAAGAACAGAAGCAAGAGAGAUGAAGCCCGACGGCCUAGAUUCCACAAAUCAACACACGCAGCCAUGAAAACCCCAGCCCUGAAGGUGAUUUUGGAUCUUUCUAGUCAUAGGGCAUACAGCUGAGGCCAGGCCUACGAAGAAGGGCCUGCCACACGCCUCUCCACCUCCACAGCGGGAAUCCCCACCUGCGGAUCCGGAAGCUCCUGGUUGGCCUGCUGACCCCAUCCAGCCCCUGCAGGGCCCAGGGACUGCCGCAUAGCGCCACCUAGUGACAUCCCGGGAGGCGACCCAGCCCUCCAGAUCUGGCCGAAGAAUGUAAUUGCUCAGGCAGCAGACCACUGGCCUGACCCCAGAGACCCCCUGGCCACACACUGCUUGCUCCUCGAAAUGGGAACUGCAGGCAGCAAAGUCAGCAGGGAUCCAGAGCGCAGACGUUCUCGGCGUGGAGCAAAGCGCUGGAGAAAAGCACUCAGUGGAUGGGGUUUCUUUCUUCUUUUCUUUUUUUUUUCCGAAUCACGUUGAUUGCAGUGCAGCCAGGCUGAGAAGGGUAUGCUUGUGCUCCCAUGCAGCUCACACAGACGGCCCUGGUCACCACCAGAACUCAUGCAGCUUCCCGCCCCGCAUCUGACUUCCUCAAGCUCAGGCAGGCCUGGACAAUACCACACGAGCUGUCACUAAAGCUCCGAAGCCACGUUUUCUAGAUUGUCUUGAUUUCCCCAGAUAUUUUGGGUCCAGGCCUCACAGCCGUUCAACCACAGGCUUUAGAAUUGAGCCUGGCAUUUCAUAUCCUGUUCCAGUUUUCAAAAUAAGUCUCUCCUCUGGAGAAAAAUAUCGGCCUCCUUUAGAAGCUUGGGCCUGAAUUUGCUGCAUUUCUCUCAAGUCAGGCAGGGGUCCGGACCAUGUUCUAUGAUCUUUCACCAAGCUCUGGGGAAAUCUUUCCCCAUCCUACCUUCAUGAGCAUGGUGGCAUAAGAUGGACACUGUCCAGGAGAGGCUGCAGGAAUCAGCCCCUCAGGGCUGUGUGUCUCGGCCUUGGACUGUAGCUCUGGGUCAACUGAUGCAAGGAGAAUUCGUGCUUUCAACAUCUCUUCCCUGUUGAAAUCUCUUCUGGAGCUCCUAAUAAUUAGCCAGGGUUGAAAGCCUGACUUCACUUUCUUCUCUGUUUACUUGGUGACUGGUUUACAUGGUGACUGGUUUACACACCAGCCAUGUGAACAACCUGUCAAUAAGUAGAGUCAGGAAUCAACUGCCUCAAAGUUUAAUAAUUCGUACCACCCACUAACAUCUACUGAGACUCUACUGUGUACAAGUUCAUGAUGGGAAACAAAAGUCGAGAUGCCAAAGACCUGUCCUCAGGGAGCUUCCACUCUAGGAGGGCAGAGUCCAAAACAAAUAAACAAAUGUAGCAUCAGGUCUUACGGAAUUCCAAGCUGGAGAGCAUUAGCAACUCUUGAGUGUUUCCUGGUAGAGAUGGUGUUUGAUUUGGCCUUUGAAGGACAGGGAGGGAUUGGCACAGAGAGGGCAUUCCAGGGAUUCUACUGAUUAUUUAUUAGGCUGAUUGAAGUUACUUGGGCGAGUUCGGUUACCUCUCCCUGACCACCAAAUUCCCAACACUUAAGUGUUGCAAUGGAAGAAUUGUUUUCACAAUUCUUCAGAAAAAUUUUGGUUCUGGUAUAUGCAAAUCACCCAUGUUGGUGAUAAGAAAGAAAGGGGUUGGGGUAAGGAAGAAGAAGAGGAGGUAAAUUGGGCUUGGAGCAACUGUAGAGAUUUUUGCAGUAUGACAUGAGCAAAAAAAUUUAAAAGGACGAUGGUAGAACUUCUGUUUCUGCAAGUGUGAAGGAGCCGAGACGUAGCUCUAGACCCCACAGAAGCCAGAAGGGUGAGUCUGUAACUGGGAAACAUGAGGUCAGAAACGCAUUGAACAUUCUGAUGAAAUGUUUGGAACAUCUUAGAAGAACUGGGUGGGACUGUGUGCUUCAUGGCUAGACUGGAAUUCAAGUCCUGGGUUUGUUGCUCAGAGAUUUGUAACCAUAGGCAUGGGACCUAAAAUGAUGAGCCGCCAUUAACUCAGUAAAAUUGGGAUCGCAGUAUCCACAAUGCAGAGAGAGUGAACUGAGGAGGUACCUAAUUCCAGAUAGCCACUACUGUUAUGGUUGUUAUUGACCAAAAUAAAAAAAAAAACAUAUAUUUAUUAUGUGUAAAAUAUAAAAUAACUUGAUGUGUAUGUCAUUGAAACUUUUGGGAGGACCAUAGGGAGCUCUUUCCAAAGUCUACAAUGAUCCAGGCAUGAAAAAUUAAGAUUGUUGUUCACAGCAACCAGUAUUACUAAUUAAAGGUGGAUGAAAUCACAUUGACAGUCUGUUUAGCGGGUCAGUGUAAGAAUUUUCAUGGAACUGCUCAUGACCUGUUUGACUUUGUUCUUUGACUCUGUUCUUCCCAUGAGCUGUGAAUUACAUUACCCUGAAGAUAAUGGAUCAUUACCUGGAAAAAUUCCCUGUGGUUUCCCAUUGAACUUAAGAUUAAAAAAUACCAAGUUUUUUGUUUUUUUA